This 635-nucleotide long non-coding RNA is filed under the name Homo sapiens (human). RNAcentral describes it as "HSALNT0336770". The record is from RNAcentral. Lineage: Eukaryota; Metazoa; Chordata; Mammalia; Primates; Hominidae.
CUCUCACACCAUGGAGGGAGAGAAGCCACAUGCAUCUUCAGCUUGGAAAAAAACCACAGGAUGAAGAGCAUACAAUUGAAGUAGAAAGACCACAGCUAUACAGAGGCUCAUGAAGGGUAAAGAGGAGAUUUUUGAAUGCUUCCACUUAUUGCUUCCAAUAAAUGAGAAUUCAACUUCUUAUAAGAGAUACCGUAUGCUUGAAAACUGAGAUCUGAGAAAAAUAUGACUACAACCUAUAAGUAAACGCCCAGCCAAACUCUAAAGCAAGAGUUCAGGUAAAAUAAGGACAUUUUUGGGUAUGUAAGCUAUAGAAAAUGUUACUACUCAUUGAUCAUCCUCUGAAAGACUUGCUUAUGUAAUUUAUCCAACAAAAAGAACAAAGGAACUCAAGAAAGAGGUAAAAAAUGAGAUCAAUGAAACAGAGUACUUAAUAUAUUGUGUAUUGUGAUUAUGUAGCAGAGUAUCUCUGUUUUAUAGGAAAUAUAAACUAAAGUAUUCAGAAAUGAUGGAACAAGAAGUCAGCAACUUUCUCUCAAAUUGUUCAGGAAAAGAUGCUUUGUAUUGUAUCUUCACCUUUUCUGUAACUGCAUGAUUAUUUUGAAAUAAAGAUAAUUUAAAAAAUAAAAUGGAGGGAA